RNAcentral lists this ribosomal RNA (467 nucleotides) under uncultured bacterium. Its description in RNAcentral is "partial 16S ribosomal RNA". It matches the Rfam family "Bacterial small subunit ribosomal RNA", at positions 28 to 507 of the family's 1533-position model. The record is from RNAcentral.
GAUGAACGCUGGCGGCGUGCUUAACACAUGCAAGUCGAACGAUGAUGCCCAGCUUGCUGGGUGGAUUAGUGGCGAGCGGGUGAGUAACACGUGAGUAACCUGCCCUUGACUCUGGGAUAAGCCUGGGAAACUGGGUCUAAUACCGGAUACGACCAUCUGGCGCAUGUCAUGGUGGUGGAAAGCUUUUGUGGUUUUGGAUGGACUCGCGGCCUAUCAGCUUGUUGGUGGGGUAAUGGCCUACCAAGGCGACGACGGGUAGCCGGCCUGAGAGGGUGACCGGCCACACUGGGACUGAGACACGGCCCAGACUCCUACGGGAGGCAGCAGUGGGGAAUAUUGCACAAUGGGCGCAAGCCUGAUGCAGCGACGCCGCGUGAGGGAUGACGGCCUUCGGGUUGUAAACCUCUUUCAGUAGGGAAGAAGCGAAAGUGACGGUACCUGCAGAAGAAGCGCCGGCUAACUACGUG